AGCAGCCGCGGUAAUUCCAGCUCCAAUAGCGUAUAUUAAAGUUGUUGCAGUUAAAAAGCUCGUAGUUGAAUUUCGGGAUCAAUUUGCUGGUCGUGCCUCUGGUACGUACUGGUAUUAUUGGUUUCUCCCUUCUGACGAACCAUGAUGUCAUUAAUUUGAUGUCGUGGAGAAUCAGGACUGUUACUUUGAAAAAUUAGAGUGUUUAAAGCAGGCAUUAGCUUGAAUACAUUAGCAUGGAAUAAUGAAAUAGGACGUUUGAUCCUAUUUUGUUGGUUUCUAGGAUUGACGUAAUGAUUAAUAGGGAUAGUUGGGGGCAUUAGUAUUCAAUUGUCAGAGGUGAAAUUCUUGGAUUUAUUGAAGACUAACUACUGCGAAAGCAUUUGCCAAGGAUGUUUUCAUUAAUCAAGAACGAAAGUUAGGGGAUCGAAGACGAUCAGAUACCGUCGUAGUCUUAACCAUAAACUAUGCCGACUAGGGAUCGGAUGAUGUUAAUUUUUAAUGACUCAUUC
Molecule: small RNA, 509 nt
Filed under: uncultured Glomus
Lineage: Eukaryota; Fungi; Glomeromycota; Glomeromycetes; Glomerales; Glomeraceae
Description: SSU rRNA
Rfam family: Eukaryotic small subunit ribosomal RNA
Source: RNAcentral